RNAcentral lists this unclassified non-coding RNA (518 nucleotides) under uncultured Glomeromycotina. Its description in RNAcentral is "SSU rRNA". It matches the Rfam family "Eukaryotic small subunit ribosomal RNA", at positions 571 to 1092 of the family's 1831-position model. Lineage: Eukaryota; Fungi; Glomeromycota. The record is from RNAcentral.
CAGCCGGGUAAUUCCAGCUCCAAUAGCGUAUAUUAAAGUUGUUGCAGUUAAAAAGCUCGUAGUUGAAUUUCGGGAUCAAAUUGUUGGUCGUGCCUCGGUACGCACUGGUAUUAUUGGUUCCUACCUUCUGAAGAACCGCGAUGUCAUUAAUUUGGUGUCGUGGGGAAUCAGGACUGUUACUUUGAAAAAAUUAGAGUGUUUAAAGCAGGCUUACGCUUGAAUACAUUAGCAUGGAAUAAUGAAAUAGGACGUUUGAUUCUAUUUUGUUGGUUUCUAGGAUUGACGUAAUGAUUAAUAGGGAUAGUUGGGGGCAUUAGUAUUCAAUUGUCAGAGGUGAAAUUCUUGGAUUUAUUGAAGACUAACUACUGCGAAAGCAUUUGCCAAGGAUGUUUUCAUUAAUCAAGAACGAAAGUUAGGGGAUCGAAGACGAUCAGAUACCGUCGUAGUCUUAACCAUAAACUAUGCCGACUAGGGAUCGGAUGAUGUUAAUUUUUUAAUGACUCAUUCGGCGCCUUACG